This 584-nucleotide small RNA is filed under the name Arabidopsis thaliana (thale cress). RNAcentral's name for it is "putative long intergenic non-coding RNA". Lineage: Eukaryota; Viridiplantae; Streptophyta; Magnoliopsida; Brassicales; Brassicaceae. The record is from RNAcentral.
CUUUUUCAAUUUAUGCAAUAUAGAAACUGUACGGAAAGGAGAUGGUUCGGUUUUGCAUGAUAUUUUCCAGCUAUAAAUGGCAUGGUAGACUACUUAGCAGCAAGUAUUUGUAUAAAAUAUGACUGAAAUCUUCUGAAAUAUCUCGGGCUCGAAUCCUUUAAACGAGCAUUGAGAUUCGAGAUAUAUCAACUAAGCUCUCCAUAUAAAGGAAAUAAACAAAUAUGUAUGGUCGAAGCCGAUUAAAAAGCAGGCACACACAAACAUUAAAUUAUACUAUAGGCAAUGUGACUUUAUAACAUAUAUCUCUCUCCACAUAGGUCUAUAUGAUAAUUUAAUUGGAUGGUUAUCCAAAGCACCCAAAUAAUUCUGGGAACUGCGAUGUGUGAUCUGAUUGGCUUAUUGCUCUUUAUUAAUAUGAGAUUUAUAAGUAUAUGAUAAAAUUAGGUGUAUGGGUCCCAUGAUCAGGCUAAAACAGCAUCUGGUGUUUUUUACCACAUUUCAAGACUCUUGUAUGGUCCUUCUUUGUCCUCCCAACCAACCAAAUUGCAUGAAGUGUCCUCCAUUUCAAAAUUGAAAAAACUGGC